UGGGGAAUUUUGGACAAUGGGGGAAACCCUGAUCCAGCCAUCCCGCGUGUGCGAUGAAGGCCUUCGGGUUGUAAAGCACUUUUGGCAGGAAAGAAACGUCGCGGGUUAAUACCCCGCGGAACUGACGGGUACCUGCAGAAUAAGCACCGGCUAACUACGUGCCAGCAGCCGCGGUAAUACGUAGGGUGCAAGCGUUAAUCGGAAUUACUGGGCGUAAAGCGUGCGCAGGCGGUUCGGAAAGAAAGAUGUGAAAUCCCAGAGCUUAACUUUGGAACUGCAUUUUUAACUACCGGGCUAGAGUGUGUCAGAGGGAGGUGGAAUUCCGCGUGUAGCAGUGAAAUGCGUAGAUAUGCGGAGGAACACCGAUGGCGAAGGCAGCCUCCUGGGAUAACACUGACGCUCAUGCACGAAAGCGUGGGGAGCAAACAGGAUUAGAUACCCUGGUAGUCCACGCCCUAAACGAUGUCAACUAGCUGUUGGGGGUCUUCGGACCCUUGGUAGCGCAGCUAACGCGUGAAGUUGACCGCCUGGGGAGUACGGUCGCAAGAUUAAAACUCAAAUGAAUUGACGGGGGUCGAUA
Molecule: ribosomal RNA, 580 nt
Filed under: uncultured bacterium
Lineage: Bacteria
Description: partial 16S ribosomal RNA
Rfam family: Bacterial small subunit ribosomal RNA
Source: RNAcentral